Molecule: long non-coding RNA, 1490 nt
Organism: Bos taurus (domestic cattle)
Lineage: Eukaryota; Metazoa; Chordata; Mammalia; Artiodactyla; Bovidae
Source: Ensembl
GUAAGACAAGUUUGUGACUGAGUCUACCUAGCGAGCUGACCCUCACUAUUUAUUCAUGGCCAGAACCCUGCUAGUCGAAAACUCGGCUGGGCCCUGGCAUCCCCAGGUGUCCCCCGCUGAGUCCUAAUCCAAUCCCUCAGGUUUGCUAAUUUAAUUGUGUAAUGGUCCACACCUGAGACAUCCCCGAACUAUCUUGAGGACAUUACUUGGCUUAAAAGACUAAUAAAGAGUAUUAAGGCAGAGACUUAGACAUUGAAAGCUUUCUCCAUCUCAAAAACAUCUGAGUCAAGCAGAAGAGAACUGAAGCGGGGAUGGGGAAUGGGCGGGGGAGACCUCCAAGUUACAAAAAGCAACAAGAAGUAAUUAAAGUUCUUGCCGAGUGAUUCUGAAAUAUGUAUUUAGCCCUUGUAAAUUAAAUACCCUGGGUUUUUAAAGAGCGAUUUCCCUAAACAUCUAUUAUUCACAUCAGUAGGACAGACGCUGUAACAACUUCACCGACUGUCUUGGUUCCACCCCGAGGAUUUUCGCUGAGAGAACACGGUUAGAGGGAAUCAGGAAGCAGAGAAAAGGUCACAAAUAAGCACCUCAGGAACAAUGAAAGCUUUUCUCUAUGCAACAGUGGGAGCGUUGCUAGAAAAAACUGGAAAGGUAUUAAUCAGAAGUGGCUAUAAAUCCUCUGGAGUUUUGCUCUUAGAAAACUCCUCAGAGAAAGUCUUGAAGGAAAUGCAGGUCAAAGCCCAAAAAAGCUCUUGAUCAGAGAUUGCCGGAGGAAAAUCUUCCCAGACGUCGUUUAAUAGGCAGCAAUCACCCCAGGAGUGGGGAAGCCAAGUACGCUUGAAACAUGGUUGCAAUUCCUAAUAGAUCUUGCCACACUUAAGGCACUGCAAGCUCCGUCCACCGAACAGCUGAAGCUAGCUGGCGAUUCAUAAAGCCAACAGUUUAAAGUUUAUUAUGAUGAAAGCACUUAAUGACAGCCAUCGCUAGGGGCCCAUCAUUUAUAAAGCUGUGCUGAGUAUUAGACAUGUAGCAUGACCACCAAUUUUAUGUCACAAUUGCUACCAUAAAAUGACCUUUGGUGAUUUUUGCUGCAUGUGGUGGACAGCUCUUCCUUCACAUUAGUGCUCUGUGGCUUUCUUUGCGGACUAUUAUGCUGUCUAACGCUUAUUUGGCACUGUCGUGAGCCUCAACCCUUGUUAUUACCCCAAAGGCCUGUCUUAAAAAAAAUAAAAAAAAGAACUCAUGCUCUAUAACACCACUCCAAUAAUUUACAGUUCUUACCAGCCUGGGUUAGUGUAAUAUUUUAAUGCAAAUAUGCUUUGCCAUUGCAUUUUAUUUAAAAAGAAAAAAAAAGUUCCCAUGUUUCUGGCUAGGACACUAUCCUUUUGAUGGAGUCCACUGAAACCAGCCUCUUAUUCCUUGGUUAGGUCUCAUUGAAUGGGCACUCCUUUCCCUGAUUGCUUAAAAACACCUCCAGGGGAAAAAAAAAAAAA